Homo sapiens (human) is the source of this 788-nucleotide long non-coding RNA. RefSeq annotates it as long independently transcribed non-coding RNA 2517. NCBI's taxonomy places the organism in Eukaryota, Metazoa, Chordata, Mammalia, Primates, Hominidae. The record is from RefSeq and is marked validated. The transcript is spliced from 4 exons.
ACUCAGGAUGGGGUCAUGGCUGAGACUAUGAGGGCUGCUCGUGCAUGACCCUGCCUGCUGGCCUCCAUGGGCCCACUAUCUGAAUGUGGUUACCCUUCUCCCCAGGACCAGGUGCCACCUCCUCUGGGAAGCUUUCCCUGCCCGUCCACAGGGUAUGCCUCCUUGUUCCUCUCCUGCCAUCGGUUUACGUGCCUGUCUCCAUCAACAGACCAGGAGCUCCUGAGGACAGGGACUGAGUCUGCCUGAUUCAUCUCUGCAUUCCUAGCACUUACCUUGGUGCUUAGUGAAAGCUCGAACCUGCCUGGGUUCCCACCUUGUCUCUGCUACCCCCAGCUCUGUGAACUCAGAGUCAUUUUUCUCUCCCCGAGUGGCACCGGGCUCAGCAGACACUCUGGCCAUGAAGGCAUCUUCUGACUCAAGCAGGCUGGAGUGCAAUGGCGUGAUCUCGGCUCACUGCAACCUCUGCCUCCCAGGUUCAAGCAAUUCUCCUGCCUCAGCCUCCCGAGUAGCUGGGAUUAUAGGCAUGCACCACCACGCCCAGAGCCAACUACUAAGCCUGUAGCAGCCUCCCAAACUGCCCAGUCUUGUUCAGAUGCACCUCCAGAAACACAGGGGUCCAAAAUGCCCCUUCCCAGACACCCUGAGGAGUAGAACAGUGCCAGCAGGCUCCAGGGAUGAGGGACUAGCUACCACAUUCCCUUUCCCAAGCCUCAGUUUCCCCACCUGUAAGAUGAGGGAUAUGGGCUCUGACUUUCUGAGUUUGGAAAAUAAAGUGCUCCCCAAACUGG